RNAcentral lists this ribosomal RNA (484 nucleotides) under uncultured bacterium. RNAcentral's name for it is "partial 16S ribosomal RNA". It matches the Rfam family "Bacterial small subunit ribosomal RNA", at positions 30 to 507 of the family's 1533-position model. The record is from RNAcentral.
AUUGAACGCUGGCGGCAGGCCUAACACAUGCAAGUCGAGCGGAUGAAGGGAGCUUGCUCCUGGAUUCAGCGGCGGACGGGUGAGUAAUGCCUAGGAAUCUGCCUGGUAGUGGGGGAUAACGUCCGGAAACGGGCGCUAAUACCGCAUACGUCCUGAGGGAGAAAGUGGGGGAUCUUCGGACCUCACGCUAUCAGAUGAGCCUAGGUCGGAUUAGCUAGUUGGUGGGGUAAAGGCCUACCAAGGCGACGAUCCGUAACUGGUCUGAGAGGAUGAUCAGUCACACUGGAACUGAGACACGGUCCAGACCCCUACGGGAGGCAGCAGUGGGGAAUAUUGGACAAUGGGCGACAGCCUGAUCCAGCCAUGCCGCGUGUGUGAAGAAGGUCUUCGGAUUGUAAAGCACUUUAAGUUGGGAGGAAGGGCAGUAAGUUAAUACCUUGCUGUUUUGACGUUACCAACAGAAUAAGCACCGGCUAACUUCGUG